RNAcentral lists this ribosomal RNA (409 nucleotides) under uncultured microorganism. RNAcentral's name for it is "bacterial SSU rRNA". It matches the Rfam family "Bacterial small subunit ribosomal RNA", at positions 9 to 416 of the family's 1533-position model. The record is from RNAcentral.
GAGUUUGAUCAUGGCUCAGAUUGAACGCUGGCGGUAUGCUUAACACAUGCAAGUCGAACGGUAACAGGAGAGAGCUUGCUCUUUUGCUGACGAGUGGCGGACGGGUGAGUAAUGCGUAGGAAUCUGCCUAGUAGUGGGGGACAAUGUGUGGAAACGCACGCUAAUACCGCAUACGCCCUACGGGGAAAGCGGGGGAUCUUCGGACCUCGCGCUAUUAGAUGAGCCUACGUUAGAUUAGCUAGUUGGUGGGGUAAAGGCCUACCAAGGCGACGAUCUAUAGCUGGUCUGAGAGGAUGAUCAGCCACACUGGGACUGAGACACGGCCCAGACUCCUACGGGAGGCAGCAGUGGGGAAUAUUGGACAAUGGGCGAAAGCCUGAUCCAGCAUACCGCGUGUGUGAAGAAGGCC